ACACAUGCAAGUCGAGGGGCAUCGGGAUUGAAGCUUGCUUCAAUUGCCGGCGACCGGCGCACGGGUGCGUAACGCGUAUGUAACCUACCUAUAACAGGGGCAUAACACUGAGAAAUUGGUACUAAUUCCCCAUAAUAUUCGGAGAGGCAUCUCUCCGGGUUGAAAACUCCGGUGGUUAUAGAUGGACAUGCGUUGUAUUAGCUAGUUGGUGAGGUAACGGCUCACCAAGGCAACGAUACAUAGGGGGACUGAGAGGUUAACCCCCCACACUGGUACUGAGACACGGACCAGACUCCUACGGGAGGCAGCAGUGAGGAAUAUUGGUCAAUGGACGCAAGUCUGAACCAGCCAUGCCGCGUGCAGGAAGACGGCUCUAUGAGUUGUAAACUGCUUUUGUACGAGGGUAAACUCACCUACGUGUAGGUGACUGAAAGUAUCGUACGAAUAAGGAUCGGCUAACUCCGUGCCAGCAGCCGCGGUAAUACGGAGGAUUCAAGCGUUAUCCGGAUUUAUUGGGUUUAAAGGGUGCGUAGGCGGUUUGAUAAGUUAGAGGUGAAAUCCCGGGGCUUAACUCCGGAACUGCCUCUAAUACUGUUAGACUAGAGAGUAGUUGCGGUAGGCGGAAUGUAUGGUGUAGCGGUGAAAUGCUUAGAGAUCAUACAGAACACCGAUUGCGAAGGCAGCUUACCAAACUAUAUCUGACGUUGAGGCACGAAAGCGUGGGGAGCAAACAGGAUUAGAUACCCUGGUAGUCCACGCAGUAAACGAUGAUAACUCGUUGUCGGCGAUACACAGUCGGUGACUAAGCGAAAGCGAUAAGUUAUCCACCUGGGGAGUACGUUCGCAAGAAUGAAACUCAAAGGAAUUGACGGGG
This 874-nucleotide ribosomal RNA is filed under the name uncultured bacterium. Its description in RNAcentral is "bacterial SSU rRNA". It matches the Rfam family "Bacterial small subunit ribosomal RNA", at positions 51 to 918 of the family's 1533-position model. The record is from RNAcentral.